UGAACGCUACGUCUGGACCGAGAU
Molecule: non-coding RNA, 24 nt
Filed under: Arabidopsis thaliana (thale cress)
Lineage: Eukaryota; Viridiplantae; Streptophyta; Magnoliopsida; Brassicales; Brassicaceae
Source: RNAcentral